RNAcentral lists this unclassified non-coding RNA (214 nucleotides) under fungal sp. Its description in RNAcentral is "partial internal transcribed spacer region". The stretch from base 1 to 46 matches the Rfam family "Eukaryotic small subunit ribosomal RNA", at positions 1786 to 1831 of the family's 1831-position model. Lineage: Eukaryota; Fungi. The record is from RNAcentral.
AAGUCGUAACAAGGUUUCCGUAGGUGAACCUGCGGAAGGAUCAUUACAAGAAACGAGGCUACGUGCCCCGCUCUUUACCUUGCCUACUGCACUAUCUGUUGCUUCCUGGCGGCGGUUUGCCUGCCGCCAGGGACAUUGUAAAGCCCUGUAUAAGCAUUAACAAACUGAAACAAACCGAAUCGUACAACUUUCAACAAUGGAUCUCUUGGUUCUG